Molecule: non-coding RNA, 159 nt
Filed under: uncultured Succiniclasticum sp.
Lineage: Bacteria; Bacillati; Bacillota; Negativicutes; Acidaminococcales; Acidaminococcaceae
Source: RNAcentral
AAUACAGGUGCCCACAAGGGCCCAACAGAGAAGUCCGGUGAGAAUCCGGCGCGGUCCCGCCGCUGUAAGGGGGAGCGAACUUCAAAGAUGUCACUGAAACAAAAGGUUUUGGGAAGGCGAAGCGAGCGAUGAACCCAAGUCAGAAGAACUGCCUGUAUG